Molecule: long non-coding RNA, 970 nt
Filed under: Coturnix japonica (Japanese quail)
Lineage: Eukaryota; Metazoa; Chordata; Aves; Galliformes; Phasianidae
Description: lncRNA (ENSCJPG00005006071.1)
Source: RNAcentral
AAAAAAGAUACAGACAUAUCUGCUAUAAUAGCAAAUACUUUUCAGAAGAAUGGAACUUUUGUGGUCACCAGAGGCAUUUUGUUACAUCACCCAUGCUGUGAGUUCUGGAAUGACGUGGCUAACGGAUCUGCCACCAUAUGCCAGAUGGCUGAGUGAUUCAAGGAUAACACAACAAUUAUUGAAUAUAAAAGGCUGAAUUGCCUACCUGGACCGUAGCACAACCCACAGAUGGUGCAGUAAAGUGACGAAAUGUUUGACACAAAGGAAGAGGAGUCUUUAACCAAUAUCAGUUCACUACCGCCUCCAUCUGUCAUAGAGGACAAUCAGAGACUUCGGGAACAGAAUCAAAUUCUUCAGCAAGAGAACAGAUUCUUGUGUGUUGAGAACAAAGCUUAUUGUCAACAGAAUCAAUUAAUCCUAAGACAGAAUAAAGCUCUUUGGGAACAGAACAGAUUCUUGUGUGUUGAGAACAAAGCUUAUUGUCAACAGAAUCAACUAAUCCUAAGACAGAAUAAAGCUCUUUGGGAACAGAACAGAAAUCUUCAGGAGAAGUAUAUACGCUCUUUAGAAGAAAAACUCUAUGAGAAAUGGCGAUAAUUCUUCCCACCGGGAUCUAGUGCCCACUGGGAAGAGGACAGAGUUCUCAGAGUACAGGAAAUGGUGCGUGAGAUGCAGGUCAAAGCUCGGUGGGAAGAGCUUUUAGCUCUAUGGGAGGAAGAAAAGGCCAGGUUUCUUCAAGAGUGCAACAGAGUCUUCGAGGGAAAAAAGAAAGCUCUCUGUGAUGAAAAAAAUGCCCUUGCUGCUCAGCAACGUCACCUUCUAAGAGAGAAUAGGGCACUUCAAGAUGACAAGAUGAUCCUAUAUAGACAGAGAAAAGUAUUCCAAAAUGAGCAAAAAUUCCUCCAUGAGUGGUAUAACAUCCUUCAAGAAAAGAAAUAAAUCAAUGAAAGUUUCAGAUGUUUAGAGGGAU